GUGAACGCUGGCGGUAGGCCUAACCCAUGCAAGUCGAACGGCAGCACAGUAAGAGCUUGCUCUUACGGGUGGCGAGUGGCGGACGGGUGAGGAAUACAUCGGAAUCUACUUUUUCGUGGGGGAUAACGUAGGGAAACUUACGCUAAUACCGCAUACGACCUACGGGUGAAAGCAGGGGAUCUUCGGACCUUGCGCGAUUGAAUGAGCCGAUGUCGGAUUAGCUAGUUGGCGGGGUAAAGGCCCACCAAGGCGACGAUCCGUAGCUGGUCUGAGAGGAUGAUCAGCCACACUGGAACUGAGACACGGUCCAGACUCCUACGGGAGGCAGCAGUGGGGAAUAUUGGACAAUGGGCGCAAGCUUGAUCCAGCCAUACCGCGUGGGUGAAGAAGGCCUUCGGGUUGUAAAGCCCUUUUGUUGGGAAAGAAAAGCAGCAGGUUAAUACCCCGCUGUUCUGACGGUACCCAAAGAAUAAGCACCGGCUAACUUCGUG
Molecule: ribosomal RNA, 491 nt
Filed under: uncultured bacterium
Lineage: Bacteria
Description: partial 16S ribosomal RNA
Rfam family: Bacterial small subunit ribosomal RNA
Source: RNAcentral